This 301-nucleotide ribosomal RNA is filed under the name uncultured bacterium. RNAcentral's name for it is "partial 16S ribosomal RNA". It matches the Rfam family "Bacterial small subunit ribosomal RNA", at positions 509 to 807 of the family's 1533-position model. The record is from RNAcentral.
CAGCCGCCGCGGUAAUACAGAGGGUGCGAGCGUUAAUCGGAUUUACUGGGCGUAAAGCGUGCGUAGGCGGCUUCUUAAGUCGGAUGUGAAAUCCCUGAGCUUAACUUAGGAAUUGCAUUCGAUACUGGGAAGCUAGAGUAUGGGAGAGGAUGGUAGAAUUCCAGGUGUAGCGGUGAAAUGCGUAGAGAUCUGGAGGAAUACCGAUGGCGAAGGCAGCCAUCUGGCCUAAUACUGACGCUGAGGUACGAAAGCAUGGGGAGCAAACAGGAUUAGAUGCCCCUGUAGUCCCUGUCUCUUAUAC